GAUGAACGCUGGCGGCGUGCCUAAUACAUGCAAGUCGAACGCAUAGCGAAAGGUGCUUGCACCUUUCAAGUGAGUGGCGAACGGGUGAGUAACACGUGGACAACCUGCCUCAAGGCUGGGGAUAACAUUUGGAAACAGAUGCUAAUACCGAAUAAAACUUAGUGUCGCAUGACACAAAGUUAAAAGGCGCUUCGGCGUCACCUAGAGAUGGAUCCGCGGUGCAUUAGUUAGUUGGUGGGUAAAGGCCUACCAAGACAAUGAUGCAUAGCCGAGUUGAGAGACUGAUCGGCCACAUUGGGACUGAGACACGGCCCAAACUCCUACGGGAGGCUGCAGUAGGGAAUCUUCCACAAUGGGCGAAAGCCUGAUGGAGCAACGCCGCGUGUGUGAUGAAGGCUUUCGGGUCGUAAAGCACUGUUGUAUGGGAAGAACAGCUAGAAUAGGAAAUGAUUUUAGUUUGACGGUACCAUACCAGAAAGGGACGGCUAAAUACGUG
This 496-nucleotide ribosomal RNA is filed under the name uncultured bacterium. RNAcentral's name for it is "partial 16S ribosomal RNA". It matches the Rfam family "Bacterial small subunit ribosomal RNA", at positions 28 to 507 of the family's 1533-position model. The record is from RNAcentral.